RNAcentral lists this ribosomal RNA (1372 nucleotides) under uncultured bacterium. RNAcentral describes it as "bacterial SSU rRNA". It matches the Rfam family "Bacterial small subunit ribosomal RNA", at positions 28 to 1381 of the family's 1533-position model. The record is from RNAcentral.
GAUGAACGCUGGCGGCGUGCCUAAUACAUGCAAGUCGAGCGAACGGACGAGAAGCUUGCUUCUCUGAUGUUAGCGGCGGACGGGUGAGUAACACGUGGAUAACCUACCUAUAAGACUGGGAUAACUUCGGGAAACCGGAGCUAAUACCGGAUAAUAUUUUGAACCGCAUGGUUCAAAAGUGAAAGACGGUCUUGCUGUCACUUAUAGAUGGAUCCGCGCUGCAUUAGCUAGUUGGUAAGGUAACGGCUUACCAAGGCAACGAUGCAUAGCCGACCUGAGAGGGUGAUCGGCCACACUGGAACUGAGACACGGUCCAGACUCCUACGGGAGGCAGCAGUAGGGAAUCUUACGCAAUGGGCGAAAGCCUGACGGAGCAACGCCGCGUGAGUGAUGAAGGUCUUCGGAUCGUAAAACUCUGUUAUUAGGGAAGAACAUAUGUGUAAGUAACUGUGCACAUCUUGACGGUACCUAAUCAGAAAGCCACGGCUAACUACGUGCCAGCAGCCGCGGUAAUACGUAGGUGGCAAGCGUUAUCCGGAAUUAUUGGGCGUAAAGCGCGCGUAGGCGGUUUUUUAAGUCUGAUGUGAAAGCCCACGGCUCAACCGUGGAGGGUCAUUGGAAACUGGAAAACUUGAGUGCAGAAGAGGAAAGUGGAAUUCCAUGUGUAGCGGUGAAAUGCGCGGAGAUAUGGAGGAACACCAGUGGCGAAGGCGACUUUCUGGUCUGUAACUGACGCUGAUGUGCGAAAGCGUGGGGAUCAAACAGGAUUAGAUACCCUGGUAGUCCACGCCGUAAACGAUGAGUGCUAAGUGUUAGGGGGUUUCCGCCCCUUAGUGCUGCAGCUAACGCAUUAAGCACUCCGCCUGGGGAGUACGACCGCAAGGUUGAAACUCAAAGGAAUUGACGGGGACCCGCACAAGCGGUGGAGCAUGUGGUUUAAUUCGAAGCAACGCGAAGAACCUUACCAAAUCUUGACAUCCUUUGACAACUCUAGAGAUAGAGCCUUCCCCUUCGGGGGACAAAGUGACAGGUGGUGCAUGGUUGUCGUCAGCUCGUGUCGUGAGAUGUUGGGUUAAGUCCCGCAACGAGCGCAACCCUUAAGCUUAGUUGCCAUCAUUAAGUUGGGCACUCUAAGUUGACUGCCGGUGACAAACCGGAGGAAGGUGGGGAUGACGUCAAAUCAUCAUGCCCCUUAUGAUUUGGGCUACACACGUGCUACAAUGGACAAUACAAAGGGCAGCGAAACCGCGAGGUCAAGCAAAUCCCAUAAAGUUGUUCUCAGUUCGGAUUGUAGUCUGCAACUCGACUACAUGAAGCUGGAAUCGCUAGUAAUCGUAGAUCAGCAUGCUACGGUGAAUACGUUCCCGGGUCU